Long non-coding RNA from Motacilla alba alba, 322 nucleotides. RefSeq lists it as uncharacterized. The record is from RefSeq and is a predicted model, not a curated record. Lineage: Eukaryota; Metazoa; Chordata; Aves; Passeriformes; Motacillidae. The transcript is spliced from 3 exons.
AUCUCAAUCCCUUCCCCACAGACCUGCUAAGGGAGGAGCCUCAGCUGCCUGCAAGGACACAGAGCUCUGUGCUUCACUCACCUCUGUCAUGUGAGAGGAAUACAGCAGGUGUAAAGGAAAAGGCAUCACCAUUUUCAGUAUCAUCCUGUUAUGGCUAAUGCUGAAUAGGAUCAUCUGACCAGCCUACACUGCAGCAUCUUUUAUUUGAUGUACACCUCAGCAUUUCAAGCACAGUUUAUGAAAGCCCAAGGAAUGGAUAUGCAUGGAUGACUAAUCCCAGGAAACCUGCAAUCCACAGCAGUGCUAUCAGUAAAUACAAGUU